Molecule: ribosomal RNA, 859 nt
Filed under: uncultured bacterium
Lineage: Bacteria
Description: SSU rRNA
Rfam family: Bacterial small subunit ribosomal RNA
Source: RNAcentral
UACGGAGGGUGCAAGCAUUAAUCGGAAUUAUUGGGCGUAAAGGGCGCGUAGGCGGAUUGGUAAGUCAGAUGUGAAAUUUCGGGGCUCAACCUCGAAGCUGCAUUUGAAACUACCUUUCUCAGAGGAUUGACGGAGAAAACGGAAUUCCACGUGUAGCGGUGAAAUGCGUAGAUAUGUGGAAGAACACCUGUGGCGAAAGCGGUUUUCUAGUUUAUUCCUGACGCUGAGGCGCGAGAGCUAGGGUAGCAAACAGGAUUAGAUACCCUGGUAGUCCUAGCCGUAAACGAUGUAUACUUGAUGUAACUGGGCUCAACCCCGGUUGUAUCGGAGCUAACGCGUUAAGUAUACCGCCUGAGGAGUACGCUCGCAAGGGUGAAACUCAAAAGAAUUGACGGGGGCCCGCACAAGCAGUGGAGUAUGUGGUUUAAUUCGAUGCAACGCGAAGAACCUUACCCAGGCUCGAAAUGUAGCGGACGGUUACAGAGAUGUAACUUCUCGUAUGAGCUGCUAUAUAGGUGCUGCAUGGCUGUCGUCAGCUCGUGCCGUGAGGUGUUGGGUUAAGUCCCGCAACGAGCGCAACCCUUAUCACUAGUUGCCAACAUUUAAGAUGGGAACUCUAGUGAGGCUGCCUAGGUUAACUAGGAGGAAGGUGAGGAUGAUGUCAAGUCCGCAUGGCCUUUAUGUCUGGGGCUACACACGUACUACAAUGGCCGGUACAGAAGGCUGCAAGACCGCGAGGUGGAGCAAAUCCUAAAAAGCCGGUCCCAGUUCGGAUUGAAGUCUGCAACUCGACUUCAUGAAGUUGGAAUUGCUAGUAAUGGCGUGUCAGCAAUAACGCCGUGAAUACGUUCCCGGGCCU